CCGCGGCGAUGACUGGGCCACCCCCUGGCCUUCCUUCUCUCAGCCCUCAGGUCCCGAGAGCCCCGGCCCAGAGCGGCCUCUGCUGGACAGUCAAGACACGAGACCCUGGGUUCAGCAAAUGUUUGCAGCGCCUUGCACUGUGCUGGGAACUAGGGAUGCAAAGAAAUGUGAGCACAUCUCUGCCCUUAGGAAUCUAGCUCAGCUUUUCCUACAUGAGCUUACAGCCUUUAAAAAGGUGACCUUAUGCCAUUUUAGGAGUUCCCUCGGAGAACCGGCACAUGUUCCAAGAAUGAGGACCUUCUUCAUUUGUCAAAACACUUCUGCGUGUACAUCAUUAAACCCUCAUCCACAUUAAACCCGGCUGAGCUUCCUGGGGCCCGAACCAGGAUGUCUGCCGCUGCAUUCAGCUUCUUACUAGAAGAAAAUACUGUCGGGGGGAUAACUAAGCCAGACACCCUACUAGGCGUUGUUUCAUGAAUCCUUCUAAGAAUUAUUAUUAUUCCAUUUUACAGGUGAGAAAAUGAAGGCACAGAGAAGACAAUGUUCUCAAGGUCGCAUAACUGGUAAGAAUAGUUUGUGCACUAGGCCCAUAAUAAAGGCUGACGUUUCCUGAGUGAUUGCUAUGUGCUAGGCACUGGACAACGUGCUGUUCAGGAAUCAACCAAGUCAUUUAGUUCUCACAACAAUCCUUGGAGAUUAUAUCCUCGUUUUCAGGGGAGAAAGUAGAAGCACAGAGAAGUUUAACUUGCCCGAGUUCACACAACUCGCAAGUAAUGAUAAGAUGCCUGCCCAGGCACCCCGCUCAGCCUCUGUACUCUACUCCCUCUCAAGAGCCCAAAGCUUCUCCAAAGCCUACAGAUUAGAACUGACCUUUCAUUCAGUUCCCUCCCUGCUCUUGCUACACUUUAGGCUUGCUUAAUUCUCACACUUCGAUCAAAGCAGAUGCCAGGUUCUCUCCCAAUUCUGUUAUUAAUGAACCUAUUGGUCCCCUAGUCACUAGAGCUGGGGCACUGCAGGAGUUAACAAGCCUUUGUAAAGAAAUGAUUUGCGUGGAAGGCAGCUUUCUUUUUUCUGUAAUAUCUUCUUCAUAUGCCAUGGGCUCUGUUCUCACUUCUUUCUCACAUACCAGAAGCUGACUCUAGGAGUCCUGAGCACCUUAUCUAUGGUCAAUUCCUCUGCCUGACUCUAUCACACUACCACUUGUAGAUUUUGCUCACACUUCCACAACCAGAUUAAAUUUGGAUCAUAUUUUUUUCUCUUUGUUUUGGUAAAUCUAGUAAUUUCUGUUGGAAUGAGAAACAAAAAAUACUCAGACCAAGUGCCCAUCCCCUCUCCAUCCUCCCUGGCCAGAUAAACUGCAAAUUCAAUUUGUUCAGCAUGUUCUCUGAAUGCUUUUGACUUCAAGGCCCUUCCGGUUUCUAGGGUAAUCUAUGUGAUUAGGAACAAUUUCUGCAUCUGGGUUUUGGUUGUCAUGGAUGCAGGGACCACACACAGAUGGAGUUAUGCAGCGACAUUCUAUCAGGCAUUAGCCCCUUUAAAUAGGGCAGGUUAAGUAAGUGACUCUAUGGCAGAAAUAUAGGUUUUUGAAGACCACUUCACAGAAAAAAUUUAUUCAAUUGAAAUUCAGCAAAACUUGAAGGAGUCUUUCUGGAGUGCGAAGCAUGUGCAACUCUAACCUUGAUAUCUAAGAUAAUGGUUUGGUACUCAAAGAAUCAUGACCCCUACACACUAAUCAGUGAAAAUUUCCAAAACUUUUCUAUUGUACGCAGGAUAGAGUUGAAAUAAUUUCUUUGAUUAAAAUAGUUCAUUUUAAUUGCUGAUUAAAAAUUUUAAUUUAUUAAUUAAUUUAGUCAGAGCAUAUUUAAUCACUUAUUUUACGCCAGCCCUUAUGCUAGGCAAUGGAAAUACAAUGGUUGUAAUAGCCAGGGUAGUGUAGGUUAUGCUGCUGUAACAAACCAGCCCAAAGUCUCCCAAGCUUAAGCGAUAAUGGUUUAUUUUUUGCUCAUCAAAGUCUGCUAUGGAUCCAGGUUACUCCUCAGAGUAGCUGUCCUCAGGAUCAGUGUUGUACCGCCAUAUCGAAACCUGCUUUUGUUACAGUAGGUAGCUAGAUAGGCAUGAGUGGGGCAGCAGAGGGCUCCCCCCACACCCCACCAGGAAAGUCAGGUAACCAUCAUGUGAUGGCCAGGCAGUUAUUAACUGUCUCUCUAAAAUAAUAAUUGGUUACAGCUGGCACGAGGGACUGACCAUCUCCCCAUAAAUAGGGAACACAUGAAACUGGUAAUCAGCAGCUUCCAAUAAGAUCUCAGGAGGUGGGUGACUGAACUCAAGCAUGUGCAUUAAGAUGCAAAAUGGUGGAGUUUAACUGGUAUAUGACCUUCUGGGGGCAUUAAAGCAAUGCAAGACGCCAGAAGUAGACCAGCAUGUAAAACCCUAAGUGCAAGGUCAAAUGGGGCACUUGACGUCCAAGAUGCCCUCUUAGGCCUCUUCCAACUGUGCUUUCCUUUCUUGCUGCUCUAAAGCUUUUUAAUUAACUUCCACUCUUGCUCUGAAACUUGCCUCAGUCUCUUAUUCUGCCUUAUGCCCCUCAAUUAUAUUCUUCCUUCCGAGGCAAGAAUUGAGGUUGCUGCAGUCUCUGCCGGUGACUCAAAUAACUUCCACCUCUAACAGUUUCACAUCCACCUCUAACAGUUUCACAUCCACUGAGUUAGGGAAAGAGAGAAGUGGAGAAUUAAGUAUUUAAAUCUUCCACCUAAAAGUGACAAUUCUGUUCAUAUUUUAUGGGCUAAGGCAAGUCAAUGGCCAUGCCCAACUUCAAGAAAGCAAGAAAGCAUGUUAUUUUUGCGUGCUCAGAUAGAGACGAGAACUCUAUAGCAGGGAACAUUGUGAUAUGUGCCACAGGGGCUAAUUGUCCCUGCACCAGGAAACUUAUUUUCUAGUAGUGGGGAGUUAAACAUUGAAUGAAUAAUCACAAAGACAUAUGCAAUAACAUUAUAUUAAAUGCUACAAUAAUAAUAAUGAUGAAAAUUUAUUAAUUGUUUCAAGCAUUUUAUGUACAGUCAUGUGUUUACAUUUCUACACUCUAACUUUGUGAGAUAGAUACUGUAGAAGACCAGAAUGUGCCACUUCAGAAUAUGCCUUUUCAGUAUAAGCAUUUGUUUGAGAAACAGCAGCUAUAGGAGCAACUCUGAGAACAGAGUGGAAUUACCUUUUUGUAGGGUGAAUUUAAAUCUAUAAAGGAAAUUUUCAUUUGUAAAAAUGUCUUCCUCUGAAUUCUAGGAAGAAAAGGAUGGCACUAAAUUACUGGAAACUCUUAUCAAUGGAGAGGGCUCUGACUUAAAUACGCAUAACAAACUUUACCUUUGUUUGCCAUGCUUUACCUGGUCACUUCCUCAUAACUGCACCCCUACCCCCAUACUCCUCUUUCUUUGUUUCAGCUGAAGAUGAUAUUUAAGUUUGAAUUCAAAGUCACCUCUUUGAAAAUUACUAAUUCCCUGACUAUCUCCUGUACAUAUAUAUGAAAUAUACAUGUUAAUAACCUCGUGGGGUUUUUGUUGUUGUUAAUCUGUCUUUUGUUAUAGGGGAUCCCAGCUUAGAACUCAUAAGGGGUAGAGAGAAAAAUUAUCUUUUCUCCCCCCAAAUACUAUUAUUAUCCAAAUGUUACAAAGUAAGAAACUGAGAAAUACUUAUACAGAAUAAAACUUUGAAGGAAACUAAGGGAUUCAAUGAGAUAUAAUAGCAGGGGAACUAGUACUCCUCAGUGGGGUCAAGGAUGGAAUUUGCAUGUAACCCUUAGUUAUGACUUACAGCAAAAGCCAUUUUUUUUUUAGUAGAAUUCUUAGUUCUUUUAUAAUACUCCACUGGGAUAAAAUCUCACAUAAAUCUACCUUUUACUGACUUUGACUCUUUUUUGAUCAUUGUUAAAAUGAAUUUUUAGUGUUGUGGACUUUUAACAUUUUACCAAAAAAAUUGCUCUUGGCUGACAUAGAUUUUUACAUCCUGAAUAUAUUAUAUUUUAUAAUUUUAGAUAAUACAUUUUAGGUAAUAUAGAAGUAUUGUUUCUGGAUUCUUUAUAUCAUGAGAUGGUUUCAUCUGGACUCUUGGCUUAAGUGAGAGAAUAACUUGGCUGAGAGAGCUGCAGUGGUUAGAGGUUGGGUCCUAAUCCCCUCUGCCAUCUACUAACUGAGUGAUUCUAAUUAAUUACUUGGCACCUCUAUUCCUUUGUUUCUGUAUCAGUCUGCUAGGGCUGCCAUAACAGAACAUCACCAACUAGGUGGUUUAAACAACAUAAAUGUAUUUUUUCCAUGUUAUGGAAGCUGGAUGUCUAAGGCCAAGGUGAUAACAGUGUUCAGGCUCUUGACACCAUUGCAAGCAGGAAUUCAAGAAUGAGUCAGAAAAUAGUGACAGUAGGAGAUUUAUUGCAAAGUGAAAAGCAUAUACUCAAGAAAGGGGAUUGUGGGGGUACUUAAGACAGAGUUGUUUGAUGGAGUUUGGAGUUUCUGUCUUUAUGGGCUUCUUUAACCAAGGGGUGGAAUAUUCAUUAAAAUUCCUGGAAAAAUUUAGAGAUUUCUCAGAACUGUGGUGCCACCUAUUUUUUCACACCAAAUAUGGGUGUUCUCAGGACUGUCAUGGCACUGGUGGGUAUGUAAUUGAUAAUGUUAACAAUAAUAUAACGAGGUCCUAGGAGAAAUCUAGGUGAAAUCCAGUGCCAUGUUGGAUCCAGUUGGUCUUAGCCAGCUGGGUCCAUACCUUGGGUUUUGAGGGUCUUAUCAGUUCCUAGCUUCUGCAGCUAUUUCAACAGUUUCCUUUUGCUAGUCAUGCAAAACUGCUGUCUGGAAUUUUCUAUUCUCCUGUGACCACCCUGUAUUAUUCCUGUCUCAAAGGUGCUGGCAGUAUUGGUUUCUGGUAAGACCUCUCUCCUUGUCUUGCAGGCGGCUGUCUUCUCACUAUAUUCUCAUAUGACCUUUUCUCUGUAUGUGCACACUCCUGGUAUCUCUUCCUCUUCUUAUAAGGAUACCUGUCCUGUUGGAUUAGAGUCCCAUCUAUAUAACCUCAUUUAACCUUAAUUACUUACUUAAAGCCCUAUCUUCAACUAUAGUCUAUUGGGGGUUAGGGCUUCAGCAUGUAAAUUUUGGGGGACACAUUCAGUUCAUAACAUUUCACCCUUUGGCUCCCUCAAAAUUCAUGUCCUGUCACAUGCAAAAUACAUUCACUCCAUCCACCCCAACAGCCUCCAAAGCCUUAACCCAUUCCAGCAUCUAAAAUCCAAAGUCUCAUUGAAAUAUGAUAAAAAUCAGAUAUGGGUGAGACUUGAGGUCAUUGUGAGGCAAAAUUCCUCUCUAGCUAUGAACCUGUGAAAUCAGACAAGUUUUGUGCUUCCAAAAUAUAAUAGUGGUACAAGCAUAGGACAGUUUCCUCCUGGCAUUAUAGGGAAGAUUGAAUGGAUUAUAUAUAUGAGAGGCUUGGUGUGUUCUUAUUUUUUUUUUUUUCCGAUGGAGUCUUGCUCUGCUGCCCAGGCUGGAGUGCAGUGGCGUGAUCUCGGCUCACUGCAAGCUCCGCCUCCCGGGUUCAUGCCAUUCUCCUUCCUCAGCCUCCGGAGUAGCUGGGACUACAGGCACCCGCCACCACGCCCGGCUAAUUUUUUUGUAUUUUUAGUAGAGACAGGGUUUCACCGCGUUAGCCAGGAUGGUCUCGAUCUCCUGACCUCGAGAUCCUCCUGCCUUGGCCUCCCAAAGUGCUGGGAUUACAGGCGUGAGCCACCACGCCUGGCCAAGGUGUGUUCUAAGUACCAAUAGAUGUCAGCCAUUAUUAGAGGAGAAGCUUUGGAGUACAUUAAAAAAUUAAGUGUUCUAAAAUACAAGGAGAAAAUGGCUGGGUAUGGUGGCUUAUGCCUGUAAUUCCAGCACUUUGGGAGGCUGAGGUGGGCAGAUCCCCUUAGGUCGGGAGUUCAAGACCAGCCUGGCCAACAUGGUGAAACCCCAUCUCUACUAAAAAUACAAAAAUUAGCUGGGCAUGGUGGCACAUGCCUGUAAUCUCAGGUACUUGGGAGACUGAGGUGGGAGACUCGCUUGAACCCAGGAGAUAGAGGUUGUAGUGAGCUGAGAUCGCAUCAUUGCACUCCAGCCUGGGCGAUAAGAGCGAAACUCUUGUCUUAGAAAAAAUAAAAAAUAAAUAAAAUACAAGAAGAAAACAUUAGUACCUGCUGUGGGUAUUUCUUGACACACAGAACUAUGUGUCUUGGGCUCUAUCUUUAGUAAUCACUCUCCUGCUACAACUGAGCUGCAGUGGAAAGCUCUAACCUAUCUCUGUCAGCCCCUUCCCUACCUCACCCUCCUUCCCAAAGGCAAAAAUGCAGCAGCCUCAAGACCCUGAUAUAUUUUGUCUUGGCUUUAUUUCUCUCUCUCCAAGAGGCAUUGCAAAAUAUUUUCUUUGAGUCUGCCACAUUUCUCCCCAUUACUUUGCUUUUCUCUUCUUAACUCCAAUUUUUAAUUUUAAUGGCAAAAAAGAUUAAAGGAAGUAGUGCAAUAUGUGCAAAAGGGUAAAUUUGGAACUCAGUUAAGAAAAUCUGCUUGAAUGGGGCAAUUUUAAAAGAGUAUGAUGAAACAUGAUAAUUUCUCUGAUUUAAAUAACAUUGUUUGAGGCUGCAUGAGGUACUUGAGGACAAUAAACCAUGUGUCAGUAAUUUUUAUUUUAAUUAAGAAUAAAGCCCUCUAAACCAAAAAUAAAAUUCUAAGCUCCCCAACCAACCCAAUUGACCCUUCCUCUUGGCCAAGGGGAUUCCAAAGUUAACUGGAAAAACUAGUUCAGGCCAUGAUGGGAAAUGGAGGUCAGAUAUGCCUCAUUAAUCCUCCUCCCUUUGGAAUUCAGGCAUAGACGAUCAUCAUUAACUUUAAAAUGGAGACCUUAAGACUGACAAAACAGACUCAUUAAGUCUGAUAAAAACAUUUACAAUCUAUUUUCUCUGAAGCCUGCUACAUGGAGGCUUCAUCUGCAUAAUAAGAACCUUGGUCUCCACAACCCCUUAUCUUAACCCAGACACUCCCUUCUAUUGAUUCCAGGUCUUUGGAUCAACUCUUUCAACCAAUUGCCAGUUGGAAAAUCUUUGAAUUCACCUAUGACCUGGAAGCUCCUAGUUUGAGUUGUCCUGCUUUUCCGGACCAAAACAAUGUACGUCUUACAUGUAUUGACUGAUGUCUUCUGUCUCCCUAAAACAUAUGAAACCAAGUCGUGUCCUGAACUACUUUGGGCACAUGCUCUCAGGAUCUCCUGAGGCUGUGUCAUGGACAUGUCCCUAACCUUGGCAAAAUAAACUUCUAAACUGAUGAAGACUUGUCUCAAAUACCUUUUGGUUUACAGCCCUGACAAUAUUUCGGGAAGGAAGAAACUCCUUCUUGGAUGUGACGCACAUAAUGAAAUCUUCUAUUUAAACUAGUGUAAAACUUAAUUGAGUUGAUCCAGUACUAUCCAAUAGAAAUAAAUUACAAGCCAUAUAGAAAUUUAAAAAUUUCUAGUAGACACAUUUUAAAAAAGUAAAACUAAGUUAUAUUAAUUUUAAUAAUAUGCUUUAAUGUAUCUAAAAUAUUAUUUUGACAGGUAAUAAAUAUAAAAAAUUGAGAUAUUUUACAUUAAAAAAAUUCAAAAUCUUCAAAUUCUAGUGUAUAUUUUAUACUUGUAGGAAAUCACAGUUCUGACAUGAAUUCAUCUCAAUUUCGAAUGUUCAAAAGCCAAACGUGGCUAGUAGCAAUCAUAAUGGACAGUGCAGUUUUAGAACCUGGACCUAGUCUUUUGCCAUGCCUCUGAAUAUGUUCUAUAAAAGUAAGAAACAGUGCUACUGAGGCUUUCUCAACUGACAGUACUGUGUAGUGGUUGAAAGCUUGAAACUUGCUGAUUGCAUGGACUGAGGCAACUUACUUAACCCCUCUAACCCUCAGUUUCCCAAUUUGUGAAAUGGAGAUGAUAAUAAUAAUCCAUUACUUCAAAGCGUUGUUUUAAGUAUUAAAUGCAUGGAAAUUAUUUGGAGUUGAACCUAGACAGAGUAGACUCUUAACAAAUAUUUGCUGUUAUUUUUGGUAGAAAUGAUUAUGAUGUUGAAAAAUUGUUAUUAACAGUAAAAUCAGACUGGACAUGGUGGCUCAUGUCUGUAAUCCCAGCCCUUUGGGAGGCCAAGGUGGGAGGACUACUUGAGCCCAGGAGUUCAAGACCAGCCUGGGCAACAGAGGGAGACCCUGACUCUACAAAACACAAAAAAAUUAGUCAGGUGUGGUGAUAUGUGCUGUGGUUCUAGUUACUCAGAAGGCUGAGAUGAGAGAAACACUUGAGUCCAGGAGGCUGAGGCUGCAGUGACCUGUGAUAGUGCUACUGCACUCCAGCCUUGACAACAGAGUGAGUACCUGUCUGAGGUGGGUGGAUCACGAGGUCAGGAGAUCCAGACCAUCCUGGCUAACACAGUGAAGCUCCAUCUCUACUAAAAAUACAAAAAAAAAAAAAAGUAGCCGGGCAUGGUGGCAGGCGCCUGUAGUCCCAGCUACUCGGGAGGCUGAGGCAGGAGAAUGGGGUGAACCCAGGAAGGGGAGCUUGCAGUGAGUCAAGAUCGCACCAGUGCACUCCAGUCUGGGUGACAGAGCGAGACUCCGUCUCAAAAAUAAAUAAAUAAAUAAAUAAAUUAAUUAAUUAAAUAAAAAUAAAAAUUAGUAAAUAAAAAAAAAUAGUAAAAUCAUGCCAAAUAUUUCUGUAAUAUUUGGAAGAAUUAGAUUCCUUACUACUCAAAGACACUGACAAUGUCCCUUAUCCUUAGAAAAUUUACAUAUGCAUAGUUUAGAGUAGCGUUUCUCAACCUUUUUGGUCUUAGGAUCCCUUUAUACCCCUAACACUUAUUAAGAACCUGCCCUCCCACUCCUGGCCAAACUGUUUAUUUAGGUUGAAGGAACAUUUUAAGAUCCCCUUCAGAUAAUUGUGAUCUGUCCUCUUUUAUACUACAUGAAUACUCAACAAGCAGUAGUUUCUUAAAAGUUUGGUGCAAUACAGAAUCCAAAAGCAUUUCAGUGUAAUUUUCAUAUUCUGUCAAAUUAAAAUCCAUUGAUCUAUCUUAUAUCUUGAAUAUAUCUUUUAUCCCUGCAUGAUUUUAUAUCAUAAUGCAUUGGUCACAUAGAAAAUAUUGGUUCACCAAGUUCAUUCAAAUUUUAACGUAUUUCGUUAUACAAUAUCAAAAAGUCACAUUUGUUAACAUCUUCACCUAUAUCAUCAGAAAAAUCUUUAAUCGUUGGAAACCAUCAAACUAAUAGUAAAAAAUACAAGUUUCCCAGAAUUCUGAUAUUCCCUUGAAAGCUUGAAUCUUAUUGGUACCAAAUAAUGUCAAUUAUUUUAUUUCCUUCCUUCCUUCCUACCGUCUUUCCUUCCUUUCUUCCUUCCUUCCUUCCUUCCUUCCUUCCCUCCUUCCUUCCUUCUUUCCUUCUCUUCUUCCUUUCUUUUGUUUGUUUUUAUUUUUCUUUUUAUUUUUUUUGAGACAGGGUCUUGCUCUGUCUCCCAGGAUCCAGGAUGGAGUGCAGUGGCAUGAUCAUGGCUCACUGUAGCCUCGAACUUCCUGCUUCAGCCUCCUGAGUAGCUGGAACUACAGCUUUGACUCCACAGAUGUAAAAGGAUCAGACUCCUAGGAGUUUGUGAACCACACUUUGAGAACUGCUGGCCUAGAGAAAUAUCUUAGAAAAUUGUGAAGGACAUUAACUGUUUCAACUGCCUAGAGUAUCCCUUUCUUCAGGUAAGUGUUCUUUCCUCUGCUUUAAGCAACUAGUUUCAAUGGCGGUGGCUAUUUUCCUAUGGAGGCUGCCUCCUACCCUAUGGGUGACUGGUAUAGGGUAGACACCAGCCUCUUUAUAUUCAGUAUACUUUCUCAGAAUUCUUAAACUUGGAACCAGAAAAUGUCACUAAUAGUUGCUCUCUGGGAACAAAGUUAUGAAGUUCUGGCAUUUUGGUGAACCACCCAAGCAUGUAGAAAAAGCUAGUCUAAAAUAGGAUAGAUAAACCCAACUCUCAGAGAGAACCAGAAAUGGGAGAAGGCUUGGUAGCAUUCCAGUCCCUGGUUCCACUUGUCCUUGAGGCUCGACCACAUUCUUGCCCUUCCUGCUACUCUGUAAGCAUUUUGAUAAAUUUCCCUUGCCUCUAAACACUUUAUAUUUUCACAAACUUUAUGAGUUUGUCCAACUGUCUUUUUUUCUGAACACUUUUGCUAGCAUCAGUUGUUACACAGUUUAGUAGAUUCCACUUCAGAUUACGCUGAAUUUGAGUUUUCUCGACUUUGAAAAUAUUCUUGACUGCAGUUUUACUCAGACCAUUCAUAGAGGCUAUGAAUUCAUGUUAUUCACUUCAAAGUCAGUAUUAAAUUAUCAAAUAAACAUCAACAACUGAAUAGUGUUUGGUAACAACUGUCAACUCAUCAAGAGCCAAAGAAAAACACUAGAAAUUAUUUUCCUUCUUUCUUAAUUUAUCCAAAAUUGACUCCCAACAUCCUCAACUUAUUAAGCAACUGUUCUCACAGAAAGAUUAAUAAUCUAAACAAGUUUACUUUCUUUGUACAUCUUUUUUUUGCUGUUAUUGUUGCUACAAUUGAAUAAAAUAUAAUUAACUUGCACCUGGUAAAUGGCUUUUCUUGCUUGACUAAAAACCAAACUACUUGGAAACUUACUUUGGUUGAAGAUUCAUUUCAGACUUUUGUGGGAAAAAUCUACUGAGAUAUUUUGUUUUGAAGUUUCAAAUUUUUCUGACUCAGGGAGUAUUGUACAUCAAAGAUAGUGUGGCAAUUAUUUAGUCUGGUACUGUAGACCUAUGUUGUAUUCUUCUAAAGUAGCAAUGACAUAAUAACAUGUAUAAAACACAAUGCUUACAAUUGAUUUAGAUAACAAAAUAAUCUACUUUCCAUUCUAUUUUUAAAAUGUGAUAUUCAAAAUCUGUUUUUCUCUUCAUUUUCUUGUUUGUUUUAUUUUGGCAAGAUGCGUAUGCAAUAACAAUAAAAAAAUAAGAUAAAACGCAGUGGUAUGUGCUGAAUGUGUCCUCUAAAGAGCAUGUAUUGAAAUUUCAAUUCUUAAUGCAUUGUGUUGGGAGA
This 11092-nucleotide long non-coding RNA is filed under the name Homo sapiens (human). Its description in RNAcentral is "HSALNT0320303". Lineage: Eukaryota; Metazoa; Chordata; Mammalia; Primates; Hominidae. The record is from RNAcentral.